GAUGAACGCUGGCGGCGUGCCUAAUACAUGCAAGUCGAGCGAACGGACGAGAAGCUUGCUUCUCUGAUGUUAGCGGCGGACGGGUGAGUAACACGUGGAUAACCUACCUAUAAGACUGGGAUAACUUCGGGAAACCGGAGCUAAUACCGGAUAAUAUUUUGAACCGCAUGGUUCAAAAGUGAAAGACGGUUUUGCUGUCACUUAUAGAUGGAUCCGCGCCGCAUUAGCUAGUUGGUAAGGUAACGGCUUACCAAGGCGACGAUGCGUAGCCGACCUGAGAGGGUGAUCGGCCACACUGGAACUGAGACACGGUCCAGACUCCUACGGGAGGCAGCAGUAGGGAAUCUUCCGCAAUGGGCGAAAGCCUGACGGAGCAACGCCGCGUGAGUGAUGAAGGUCUUCGGAUCGUAAAACUCUGUUAUUAGGGAAGAACAAAUGUGUAAGUAACUAUGCACGUCUUGACGGUACCUAAUCAGAAAGCCACGGCUAACUACGUG
Molecule: ribosomal RNA, 497 nt
Filed under: uncultured bacterium
Lineage: Bacteria
Description: partial 16S ribosomal RNA
Rfam family: Bacterial small subunit ribosomal RNA
Source: RNAcentral